AUACUCUUGUUUCUCUUCAGAUCGCAUAAAUCUUUCGCCUUUUACUAAAGAUUUCCGUGGAGAGAAACACUUUUGAGUGUCCUACCAAUUUUUUGAGGUCUUGCUUUGGCAAGACU
This 116-nucleotide small nuclear RNA is filed under the name Sus scrofa (pig). Its description in RNAcentral is "U5 spliceosomal RNA (multiple genes)". It matches the Rfam family "U5 spliceosomal RNA". Rfam says of the family: U5 RNA is a component of both types of known spliceosome. The precise function of this molecule is unknown, though it is known that the 5' loop is required for splice site selection and p220 binding, and that both the 3' stem-loop and the Sm site are important for Sm protein binding and cap methylation. The record is from RNAcentral. RNAcentral also lists the same sequence under 1 other name. Lineage: Eukaryota; Metazoa; Chordata; Mammalia; Artiodactyla; Suidae.